Long non-coding RNA from Macaca fascicularis (crab-eating macaque), 1764 nucleotides. The record is from Ensembl. NCBI's taxonomy places the organism in Eukaryota, Metazoa, Chordata, Mammalia, Primates, Cercopithecidae.
GUGCUUUCUGUCUCUCGACUGGAUGCUGAGUGAUAUACCCCCUGUUCCUGGGAGUCCCAUUGUCCUGCUCACCACCCUGAGAGUCUUAGCCCUACACCUUGGUGCUGGAGCUCCUAUUAUCUUAUCCAUGUGGGGAGGAGGGUUCUCUGCUCGUCGUCCUAAGAAAUGAGCCCUGGGGGUGGCUCUGUGUCCCAGAUUUAGUCUGGGGGGGUUCCCACAUCAGAGACUAUAUCCCUAGAAAUCCUUAUCUCCCACUUGAGAGGGGUCCCCAUAUCCAAUGUUCUGCCUUGGUGGGGUCUCUGUGCCUCAAACUCAGAACUCUGCUCUCUGUCCCUGUCCCUGGGAUUCCAGUCUCUCCCCUGCCCUUUGGUGCUAGUGUCUGAACCCCAGGCCUAAUUCCACGCACCAGUGGUCAGCUCACCAUGGCCCCCUAGGCUGCUGCUCUUGUAUUCUAAAUUCUUACAGGAGCCUCACCUCUUCACUUAUAUAGUCUACAGCUGCUUUCAUGCCACAGUGGCAGAGUGAGUAGUUGGAACGAGACCAUACAGCCUGCAAGCUGAAACAUUUACCAUGUAGCCCGUAUCAGCAAAGGCGCGCCUGUCCCUGCUUUAUACCGAGGGUCUCUGACAUCAACCCUGAGAAACCUCUGAGGGUCCCCACAGCCUGGAUUUUCCCUAGGGUCCCUGCCUCCCACAGUAGGUGGCCCUGGCCCUGUGAAACCCAGCCCAGGGGUCUCCAGGUCUGCGACCUCCAUCAUUAGUCCUGUGCACCUCCCGCCAUGGACACCCCAGUCACAUCACCCUCGGCCCCAGAGUCCCUGUACUCCAUCCAUAAUCACAUCAGCCCCAGUCCCAGCCCAGCCCAGCACCUUUGGUGAUGCAGCUCAGGACGCCUCCGGAGGGCUGGCACACCUGUCCCGGCGGACAGCUGUGUUCCUGGCACACCACGCCUUUACGCACAUGGCACGUACACUGCUGCCGACAGUCGUCAAUGAGGACUGUCUGCUCCGGCUGUGGGGAGAGAGGGCACGGCCAUCAGACACCACGGGUGGGAGCCGACUCUCACAUCUCUGGCAUUCUGGGCACAGAGGGGUUUGCAGACAUCACAGACAAGGGACAUCUCUCAGCAGGAUGGCCUCCUGUCUGUGAAGCUGAGGCACAGCAUGGGUUUGGGGCCGUCAUUCAUUUGUACAUUUGUUCAUUCACUUUUAUUCAUCGACUCAUUCAUUCCAAAAUAUCCGCUCAAUCUCUGCUGUAGGAGAAAUGGUGUGACAUAGUAACUAAGGGCAGAUCGCCUGGGCUUGAAUUUCGUUUCUGCUGUUUCCAAAUUCUGUGACUCUGAGUAAGUUACUUCACCGCUUUAUGGCUCAGUUUCCUGAUGUGUACAUUGCAGAAAAUAGUAGCGCCUGCCUAUGGAAGUAUAACUGAGUUAAUAACACAUGUAAAAUUCAGAUAAAAUGAAAAGGGUAGGCUGGACGCAGUGGCUCAUGCUUGUAAUCCCAGCACUUUGGGAGGCCGAGGCGGGUGGAUCAUGAGGUCAGAAGACUGAGACCAUCCUGGCUAACAUGGUGAAACCUAGUCUCUACUAAAAAUGCAAAAAAUUAGGCAGGUGUGGUGGUGGGCGCCUGUAGUCCCAGCUACUCGGGAAACUGAGGCAGGAGAAUGGAGUGAACUCAGGAGGCGGAGCUUGUAGUGAAGCGAAACCUCGCCACUGCACUCUAGCCUGAGUGACAGAGCGAAACUCCAUCCCAAGGAAAAAAAAAAA